This is a long non-coding RNA of Chelonia mydas (Green sea turtle), 208 nucleotides long. RefSeq lists it as uncharacterized. NCBI's taxonomy places the organism in Eukaryota, Metazoa, Chordata, Testudines, Cheloniidae. The transcript is spliced from 2 exons. The record is from RefSeq and is a predicted model, not a curated record.
GAGGCUAGCCAGUCAUAGCUGUUGGAGCUUGGUGAAGCGCAAACAGGAGAGGAGGCCCCUGAUAUGACCUUGGAAGCCCAGCCUCCCUCUUUGUUUCGCUGGCUGAACGGCUAUGCAGAAUUAGAAAACAGCCAUGAAGAAAUAAAGAGGACUUUUUGCGUGAGGUCAUGAUGCGCUCUGCAGCCGAAAAACAGGAAUUGAAGGAGUG